Molecule: ribosomal RNA, 229 nt
Filed under: uncultured eukaryote
Lineage: Eukaryota
Description: partial 18S ribosomal RNA
Rfam family: Eukaryotic small subunit ribosomal RNA
Source: RNAcentral
GGAAACCUUACUAGGGUAAGACAUUGGUAUGAUUGACAGAUUACUUGAUCUUUCUUGAUUCUAUGGGUGGUGGUGCAUGGCCGUUCUUAGUUGGUGGAGUGAUUUGUCUGCUUAAUUGCGUUAACGAACGAGACCUUGACCUACUAAAUAGUUAGCAGUAUCUCCGGAUAUCGCAUAGCUUCUUAGCGGGACUUUGCGCAUUUCAGCGUAAGGAAGUUCGAGGCAAUAA